AGGAAAAAUGUGUAUGAUUGUCAUGAUUUAUUAGAAUUCUUCUGUUUAUGUCUUAAGAUGUUUGGAUCUACUGUAUGAUUCUUGCAUUAAAGAAAAUUUAAAAAGCUUUUUUCUCCCCCCCACUGUAAGGGAGUUUACCAUGCUGAUUUACUGUUGUACAACUGGAAAUACAAUCUGGUACACAGCAGUUGGGAAGAAACCUGAGUAAACUUAAGCUAGAUGAUAGAAGACUGCUGAGAACUGUGGAUCUACACUACUUGAAAGCACAGAAAGUGCCUGACCCCAACUGCUAAACUGAACUGAAUGAAUACAGACAACCUGAGAAGAGAGAACCCCCAUGAAUUCAGGAGCAAUUACUCAGCUCAGCUGAAAACAUCAAUAGCACAUGUUAGAAUGGAAUCCUGGAGCCAUGGAUAAUAGAAAAUAUGCACCCUUCGGCUGAGCGCUGAACUGAAGAUCUGUUGGGAGAUUUCCACUGUUCUAUGGCUGGGGCUGUUGUCAGCUUUUCACUGGAAAGGCUGCACCUGAAUAAAAGAAACUAUUUUAAAGGGUUAGUCAAAGUUGAUUUUAGCAAGUACUUUUCUGACACCCUGCCAAUGAUUUGACUUUU
Molecule: non-coding RNA, 610 nt
Organism: Anas platyrhynchos (mallard)
Lineage: Eukaryota; Metazoa; Chordata; Aves; Anseriformes; Anatidae
Source: RefSeq, a predicted model, not a curated record